This 493-nucleotide ribosomal RNA is filed under the name uncultured bacterium. RNAcentral's name for it is "partial 16S ribosomal RNA". It matches the Rfam family "Bacterial small subunit ribosomal RNA", at positions 29 to 523 of the family's 1533-position model. The record is from RNAcentral.
AUUGAACGCUGGCGGCAUGCUUUACACAUGCAAGUCGAACGGUAACAGGUUAAGCUGACGAGUGGCGAACGGGUGAGUAAUGCAUCGGAACGUGCCCGAUCGUGGGGGAUAACGCAGCGAAAGCUGCGCUAAUACCGCAUACGAUCUGAGGAUGAAAGCGGGGGACCGUAAGGCCUCGCGCGAGCGGAUCGGCCGAUGUCAGAGUAGGCAGUUGGUGGGGUAAAGGCUCACGAAGCCAACGAUCUGUAGCUGGUCUGAGAGGGCGACCAGCCCAACUGGGACUGGGACACGGCGCAGACUCCUACGGGAGGCAGCAGUGGGGAAUUUUGGACAAUGGGCGAAAGCCUGAUCUAGCAAUGCCGCGUGCAGGAAGAAGGCCUUCGGGUUGUAAACUGCUUUUGUACGGAGCGAAAAGGCCCUGUCUAAUACAGUAGGCUCAUGACGGUACCGUAAGAAUAAGCACCGGCUAACUACGUGCCAGCCGCCGCCGUAA